This 518-nucleotide ribosomal RNA is filed under the name Agalychnis callidryas (red-eyed leaf frog). RNAcentral's name for it is "partial 16S ribosomal RNA". It matches the Rfam family "Bacterial large subunit ribosomal RNA", at positions 1851 to 2571 of the family's 2925-position model. The record is from RNAcentral. Lineage: Eukaryota; Metazoa; Chordata; Amphibia; Anura; Hylidae.
GGUCCAGCCUGCCCAGUGACUCUGUUCAACGGCCGCGGUAUCCUAACCGUGCGAAGGUAGCGUAAUCACUUGUUCUUUAAAUGAGGACUAGUAUGAAUGGCAUCACGAAGGUUAUACUGUCUCCUUUUUCUAAUCAGUGAAACUAAUCUUCCCGUGAAGAAGCGGGAAUAAAAUUAUAAGACGAGAAGACCCUAUGGAGCUUCAAACUCUCAACAACUAUCUUUUUUUAUAUAACUCUAAAGAAAAUAAUAUUCAUCUAGGUAGUAUGACUGCUAGUUUUUGGUUGGGGUGACCACGGAGUAAAAUCUAACCUCCAUGAUGAACAGGACUGGUUCCUAAACAAAGAAUUACUAUUCAAAGUAUCAAAAAAUUGACGACAUUGACCCAAUAUUUUGAUCAACGAACCAAGUUACCCUAGGGAUAACAGCGCAAUCCAUCUAAAGAGUUCAUAUCGACAGAUGGGUUUACGACCUCGAUGUUGGAUCAGGGUAUCCCAGUGGUGCAGCCGCUACUAAAGG